Molecule: unclassified non-coding RNA, 399 nt
Filed under: Hevea brasiliensis (rubber tree)
Lineage: Eukaryota; Viridiplantae; Streptophyta; Magnoliopsida; Malpighiales; Euphorbiaceae
Source: RNAcentral
GUUGUAAGUGAGGAUGCUGCUGGAAUCAUAACAGCUGGACGUGCCAAACGAACAUCUGAAUCAGGAAGAAACGGUGACAGGUUUAGGCAGUUAAGGGAAGAUGAGAAGAAGAAUAAGUUAAGCAAGGCAGCUCGAUCAGAAGAGAUUCAAACUUUGGCUUCUGAGUCUGAUAAUGAGGAUGGGUAUGAUAGGGAGACAAUUGAGAAGGGUGAGGACAGUCUAGAAGAGGCAUAUGCAUCAAGUGCAGACAAAGACAUCCCAGCCUAUAAUCGACAAAAGAGAAGCAAACGAUCAAAGAGGAAACGUGCAGUAUGAAAGAUUAUAUACUGAUAUAUUUGUAGGUAAUUUUGAGCCGUGUAUAUCUCACACAUUGUGAAGUAGUUAAAAACAUAGUGACCA